CACACACAUAUGGUAGGCAUUGCGAUGAGUAGAGGUUCGGAUAUGAGAUAUCCGACGGAGCCCUUGUCUUAUUGGAUGCAGAUCCAAUACCCACUAGGAAAAGGACCCAUUAGGGUUUUGACACGGGAUCUCUAUAAAUAGGAGGGAUUCACAGCCUCAUAGGCUAGAGUCUUUGCUUGCCCUUCCUAUUCUCCUCUCCCUCUCCACCUCAGAGUAGGCCUGGAGUUUUGAGGAGCGUCGUCGCAACCCUGCUGUGUAGAUCACCGCUAGAGAGGAGGACGCUUGACCUCCUUCACCCUCUCCUAAGGAUCUGCAAGGAAACAGGGAUAUACGAUCUCCCUAGGUAACACAAUCUCUAUACGCAGUUUUGUGUUUUGCGGAUUUUGCGCACCAAUCUUCGCACGACGACGAACAUCUUUUUGGGGAAUCGGGGAUUUUUGUUUUCUUGUUCUUCCGCUGCGCAUAUGAUGUCGCCCCCAAUGAUUUCCCAACAGUGUGGCCUCUGCGGACAUGAACCAAACUUUUCGUUUAUUCUUCAUCUAGCAUUGACCUUUCAAAAAUUCUCUGACCGGAGCAAUCCCCACAGAGAUCGGGUACCUUUACGACACUUCAAACUUUAAAUCUAUCAAGAAAUAGCAUUGGAGGUAUGAUUCCGAGUACUAUUGGCGGAAUGAAAUCACUGGAAACUCUUGACUUAUCAUUCAAUGACUUGUCCGGAUCCAUUCCUCAAAGCUUAUCAGGCCUGAAUUAUCUGAGUGACUUGAAUCUGUCUUAUAACAAUCUAUCAGGAGCCAUUCCAUCGGGUUAUCAACUUCAAACACUUGCAGCAUCCAGUUACAUCGGUAAUGCGAAUCUUUGUGGCCCUCCGGUUAGCAAGAGUUGCCUCGAGAAGACAAAUAUCAAUGCGACAUACGAGGAGGAGGAAGAAGGAUUUCAUGCCUUUUCAUUUUACUUUGGCAUCACACUCGGUUAUUUGGUUGGACAGUGGUGCGUGUUUAUCAUCAUGCUAUUUAAGGAAGAUUGGAGGAUGUUUUAUUUUCGAAUGAUUGAUCGAUUAUAUGACAAAGCGUGUGUGGCAAUCAAGAUAAAGAUCAACGGAUGGAGGAUCAAUAAAGGAGAGAGACGUACUCAAAAGUGAAGACUAAAAUGUCGACUUGAUGACGAUGAUGUUAGGCACUUCUCGCGAUAUUUGAUAGCCCCCUUACAAGGCUGGUAGGCUGCAGGCUGUCUAUGUGAAAACAGAGACAGGGAGUUCUUAUUGAAAUCAAACCAUAUGUCCGCAUCCCGAGGCCUUUCAAGCGUUUCUGUGGUCUAUCACUGUUUCCCCGUCAAGCAUUGUAUAUGUGGGUUCAAUCAAUUUAAUCUGUGACAAUAUCUACAUCCCUUUUGUAAUUGCUGCAGCCCAAUUGUUCCAAAAAUGAAGUACGAAGCGGGAGAAACUUCUUGGUGUAAUAAAGAACCCUGUGACUCGCCAUUUGCCUGUCAAUUCCAAGAAAAUAGGUGAUAACUUGCAUAUUUGUUU
Long non-coding RNA from Musa acuminata AAA Group (dessert banana), 1522 nucleotides. RefSeq lists it as uncharacterized. NCBI's taxonomy places the organism in Eukaryota, Viridiplantae, Streptophyta, Magnoliopsida, Zingiberales, Musaceae. The transcript is spliced from 2 exons. The record is from RefSeq and is a predicted model, not a curated record.